This 497-nucleotide ribosomal RNA is filed under the name uncultured bacterium. Its description in RNAcentral is "partial 16S ribosomal RNA". It matches the Rfam family "Bacterial small subunit ribosomal RNA", at positions 28 to 507 of the family's 1533-position model. The record is from RNAcentral.
GAUGAACGCUGGCGGCGUGCCUAAUACAUGCAAGUCGAGCGAACAGACGAGGAGCUUGCUCCUCUGACGUUAGCGGCGGACGGGUGAGUAACACGUGGAUAACCUACCUAUAAGACUGGGAUAACUUCGGGAAACCGGAGCUAAUACCGGAUAAUAUAUUGAACCGCAUGGUUCAAUAGUGAAAGACGGUUUUGCUGUCACUUAUAGAUGGAUCCGCGCCGCAUUAGCUAGUUGGUAAGGUAACGGCCUACCAAGGCAACGAUGCGUAGCCGACCUGAGAGGAGGGUGAGCCACACUGGAACGGAGCCACGGUCCAGACUCCUAAGGGAGGCAGCAGUGGGGAAUAUUGGACAAUGGGCGCAAGCCUGAUCCAGCAAUACCGCGUGGGUGAAGAAGGCCUUCGGGUUGUAAAGCCCUUUUGUUGGGAAAGAAAAGCAGCAGGUUAAUACACCGCUGUUCUGACGGUACCCAAAGAGUAAGCACCGGCUAACUUCGUG